UGCGUAGGCGGUCCGAUAGGUCUGAUGUGAAAGCCCUGGGCUCAACUCAGGAACUGCAUUGGAAACUGACGGACUGGAGUACCGGAGAGGGAAGCGGAAUUCCUGGUGUAGCGGUGAAAUGCGUAGAUACCAGGAGGAACACCGGUGGCGAAGGCGGUUUCCUGGCCGAGUACUGACGCUGAGGCACGAAAGCGUGGGGAGCGAACG
Molecule: ribosomal RNA, 207 nt
Filed under: uncultured bacterium
Lineage: Bacteria
Description: partial 16S ribosomal RNA
Rfam family: Bacterial small subunit ribosomal RNA
Source: RNAcentral